CGGAAGUGACCCGUCGGCCGACUGACCCGUCUAUCAUGGCGGCCGCGGCCACCUCUCCCGCGCUGAAGCGGCUGGAUCUGCGCGACCCCGCGGCGCUCUUCGAGACACAUGGAGCGGAGGAGAUCCGCGGGCUGGAGCGCCAGGUUCGGGCCGAGAUCGAGCACAAGAAAGAGGAGCUGCGGCAAAUGGUGGGAGAGCGGUACCGCGACCUGAUCGAGGCGGCCGACACCAUCGGCCAGAUGCGCCGCUGCGCCGAGGGACUGGUGGACGCCGUGAAGGCCACCGACCAGUACUGCGCCCGUCUCCGCGAAGCCGGCUCGGCCGCCCCCCUGCCGCCGCGGGACCCGCAGGGCUCUGCCGUGGAGACAUCUGGAGGCUCGCUGAUCACUAGACUGCGAGACGAGGACCAGAUCAAGUCCACCUCUCCAAGAGACCGCGCAAAGCCCCAGCAGCCAUCCCAGGAGAAGUUCUACAGCAUGGCUGCCCAGAUCAAGCUACUCUUGGAAAUUCCUGAGAAGAUCUGGAGCUCCAUGGAGGCCUCUCAGUACCUCCAUGCCACACAGCUGUACCUGCUCUGCUGCCACCUCCACAGCCUGCUCCAGCUGGAUUCUUCUGGCUCCCGAUACAGCCCCGUCCUCUUGCGAUUCCCGAUACUCAUCCGGCAGGUCGCAGCGGCCAGCCACUUCCGGUCAACUAUUCUGCAUGAAAGCAAGCUGCUGCUCAAAUGCCAGGCCGUGUCUGACCAGGCUGUAGCCGAGGCCCUGUGCUCGAUAAUGCUCUUAGAAGAGAGUUCUCCUCGCCAGGCCCUAGCAGACUUCCUGUUGGCCAGAAAGGCAGCUAUUCAGAAACUCCUCAACCAGCCGCACCACAGUACUGGCAUCAAGACUCAGGUCUGCUCGUUAGUGGAGCUGCUGGCCACCACUUUGAACCAGGCUCAUGCUCUUUUCUACACUUUACCAGAAGGCCAGCUGCCAGAUCCGUCCCUGCCAUGCGGCUUGCUCUUCUCAACUCUAGAGACCAUCACGGGCCAGCAUCCGACCGGGAAGGGCGCCGGUGUUCUGCAAGAGGAGGUGAAACUGUGCAGCUGGUCCAGACACCUGCCGGCAUCCGUUGUCCAGUUCCAGCCGGCUCUCCGAACCUUGGCACAGCCCAUCAGCCAGGAGUACCUGAAAGACACGCUGCGGAAAUGGAUCCACAUGUGUAAUGAAGACAUUAAAAAUGGGAUCACCAACCUGCUUUUUUACGUGAAGAGCAUAAGAGGGCUCGCAGGGAUCCGGGAUGCCAUGUGGGAAUUACUUACCAACGAGUCCACCAACCACAGCUGGGAUGUGAUAUGUCAGCGGCUUCUGGAGAAGCCACUCCUGUUCUGGGAGGAUUUGAUGCGGCAGCUGUUCCUUGACCGGUUACAGACCCUGACAAGAGAAGGCUUUGACUCCAUCUCUACCGGCUGCAAGGAGCUCCUCAUUUCCGCCCUGCAGGAGCUCGAGAGCAGCACCAGCAGCUCCACUCCGAGUAAGCACAUCCACUUGGAGCGCAACAUGUCUCUCUUCCUCUGGUCCGAGAGUCCCCAGGACCUGCCUCCCGAUGCUGCCUGGGUCAGCGUGGCGCACCGGGGGCCGCGCGCCGGCAGCGGGCUCUCCAUGAAGGCGCAGGCGGUUAGCCCCUGCGUCCAGGACUUCUGCUCUGCCCUGGAUGCCAAACUGCAGGUUCAGCUGGACGACCUCCUGGCCUACCUUCCCUCUGCGGACGCGUCACCGCCCAAGGACGUCUCCCCCGUGCAAGCCAAGAGCUGUGCCUUUGACAGGUACGCGGAUGCCGGCACCGUGCUGGAGCUGCUGCAGGCGCAGUCCGUGGCGUGCAUCGAGCGCAUCACGGCCUGCAUCCGGGCAGAGCUGCACGGCUCGGAGCAGGUGGUGCAGGGGCAGCGGGAUGCCCUCGACAGUGUCCAGCUGCACGCGGUCCUUUUCAUGGCCAGACUCUGCCAGUCGCUGGGAGAGCUGUGUCCCCAUCUGAAGCAGUGCGUCUUGGGGAAGUCCAGGAACUCUGAGAAACCAGCAAGGGACCCUAAGGCUCUGAAAAAGCAGGGAAAGGGGACCACUCGGGAAGUACUUCCUUCGCAGGCCAAGUGGCAGGAAGUCAAGGAGCUCCUCCUGCGGCAGAGCGUGAUGGGUUACCGCGUGUGGAGCUCGGCGGUUGUGAAGGUUUUGGCUCACGGAUUCACCCGGUCGUUACUUCUAGACGAUGCCGGCUCCAUCCUGGCCACAGCCACCAGCUGGGAUGAACUAGAAAUCCAGGAGGAAGCGGAGUCUGGCAGCUGCAUCAUGUCCACAAUCCGACUCCCUACACAGCCAUCCUGGUAUGUCCAGUCCUUCCUGUUUAGCCUCUGCCAGGAAAUUAACCGUGUUGGAGGCCACGCUUUGCCAAAAGUGACCCUGCAGGAGAUGCUGAAAAGCUGUAUGGUCCAGGUGGUGGCUGCCUAUGAGAAACUUUCAGAAGAAAAACAGGUGAAGAAAGAAGGUGCGUUCCCCAUGACCCAGAAUCGGGCCCUGCAGCUGCUUUAUGAUCUGCGCUAUCUCAGCAUCAUUCUGACAGCCAGGGGUGAGGAGGUGAAGAGUGGCCGCAGCAAGCAGGACUCCAGAAUCCUUUUUUCAGAAUUGAGAAAGUGGCCGACUCCCUGGAAACACUCAUUGACCCGUUUGACCUGGAUGUCUUCACACCACACCUCAACAGCAACCUCACGCGGCUGGCGCAGCGAACCUCUGUUCUGUUUGGAUUGGUCACUGGUACAGAGAAUCAGUUCACGCCCAGGAGCAACACGUUCAACUCCCAAGAACCCCAUAACAUACUGCCUCUGGCAUCGAGUCAGAUCAGGUUCGGACUUCUUCCACUGAGCAUGACAAGUACCCGAAAGGCCAAAUCAACCAGCAGAAGCAUCGAAACAAAAACCCAGGUUGGCCCCCCGGCACUCUCCCGAGCAGGUGACCCGACGCACCCUGGCUCCUUGUUCAGACAGCUGGUCAGUGAGGAAGAAGACGCGUCUACGCCUUCGUUAUUCAAGCUAGGCUGGCUCUCUAGUAUGACUAAAUAACAUGGGAACAUAGCCAUCCCUCUCUAAAUAAAUACUACAUCACUUCUUCUAA
This is an RNA transcript of Felis catus (domestic cat), 3140 nucleotides long. It is a transcript of the gene named component of oligomeric golgi complex 1, with no coding region annotated. The transcript has 15 exons. The record is from RefSeq and is a predicted model, not a curated record. NCBI's taxonomy places the organism in Eukaryota, Metazoa, Chordata, Mammalia, Carnivora, Felidae.